Molecule: ribosomal RNA, 301 nt
Filed under: uncultured bacterium
Lineage: Bacteria
Description: partial 16S ribosomal RNA
Rfam family: Bacterial small subunit ribosomal RNA
Source: RNAcentral
CAGUAGCCGCGGGAAUACGAAGGGGGCUAGCGUUACUCGGAAUUACUGGGCGUAAAGGGAGCGUAGGCGGACAUUUAAGUCAGGGGUGAAAUCCCAGAGCUCAACUCUGGAACUGCCUUUGAUACUGGGUGUCUUGAGUGUGAUAGAGGUAUGUGGAACUCCGAGUGUAGAGGUGAAAUUCGUAGAUAUUCGGAAGAACACCAGUGGCGAAGGCGACAUACUGGAUCAUUACUGACGCUGAGGCUCGAAAGCGUGGGGAGCAAACAGGAUUAGAUACCCCCGUAGUCCCUGUCUCUUAUAC